Molecule: unclassified non-coding RNA, 263 nt
Filed under: plant metagenome
Description: partial contains small subunit ribosomal RNA, internal transcribed spacer 1, and 5.8S ribosomal RNA
Source: RNAcentral
UUUCCGUAGGUGAACCUGCGGAAGGAUCAUUAUUGUAUAACCGAGGUGCGAGGGCUGUCGCUGACCCGAAAGGUCGUGCACGCCCGAGUGCUCUCACACACAUCCACCUCACCCCUAUGUGCACCACCGCGUGGGUCCCCCUUUGGCUUGUUCGGAGGGGUGCUUACGUUUUCAUACAAACUUUGUAUGCAGUGUAGAAUGUAUUUUUUGUUUUUGCGAUCACGCAAUCAAUACAACUUUCAACAACGGAUCUCUUGGCUCUC